Erinaceus europaeus (western European hedgehog) is the source of this 3351-nucleotide long non-coding RNA. RefSeq lists it as uncharacterized. The record is from RefSeq and is a predicted model, not a curated record. NCBI's taxonomy places the organism in Eukaryota, Metazoa, Chordata, Mammalia, Eulipotyphla, Erinaceidae. The transcript has 3 exons.
GCUCGGAGUCCAGCGGCUGCAGCUGCAGCGCCUGCAGCCAACCCGGGCUUGGGCAGCAGGGAGGCGGGUCCCUGCGCCCGGCUCGGGGCAGCCCCAGGCACGGGUGUGUGUGUGUGGGUCCUUCUCCUUUCCAAGGCCCGCGGCGGCACUGCGCCCGGGGAGGCGGCAAGAACAACGACCUUGGCCAGAGUGCGGACACUGGGCGGAGGCCGAACCGCGGGGAGGCGCAUCAGGCUGCCCGGGCCCAGUAAUCCCUGCUGGGCCUCCAACUGAGGACCCCAGGGGAGAGAAGCUUUUGUGUGCAACCUGCAAUUCUGCUGUUCAUCCUUCAGCACAGAUAGAAUUCGAGAAACUGCCAUUCGACUGCUUGGAGGAGACUUGAGGUCUGCCCUGGCCCCAGGGUGCCAGUGGAUUCUUGGAGUUGUGUCCUGCAGAGUAGACACAGGUCUCUGCUUUUUCCACAUUGCCCACCCUACUCUGACCUCCUCACUCUCUCUAGUACCUAGGAAGGUCACUUCUCAGUACCAAAUACUUUUUCUGUGCCAGUGCCUUCCUGUGCAGAAGAACUGGAAAAAAAAGUGGGGUGGUGCAGUUGCCGGAGAAAAAACUGAGGAGAUUCAAAGCAACAGACUGAACUCCUGAAGACUGGUGCCACUCAGACAGAUGCUGUCUGUCACCUGGGAGGGACAGAGCCAUCUUGUUGUAGGGGCAGAUGUUUCCUCUGCCCCUUUCCCUGUCUCUUUUGUCUUUUUCAUGGCUUCUGAGGUAGGAUUGCAGGAGAAGGCUUACUAAGGCAGAUGCUACAGGUAGGACAAAGUGAGCACUAGCUGCUGAUGAGGGUUCUUGUCACGUGUACUAUGCAGCGUGUGGUGAAGAGGAUGGUGAAGUGGAUGUCUUUUCACCCUUUAGCAGGAAGGCUGCUGGUUAGACUGCUUGGCGGGUCCUUCCAGAGCCAGGAGGCAGCCUUAAUGGAGAUCUGGGUUUCUGCAAGUCUGUGAGAAACAAGAGUCCCUUCUUCAGAAACCUGUUCUUUCAGGCCUCUUUGCUGACAGCCUGACCCUUAGAAAUAUUUCUUUCUGCUGAGUCAAACAGACCAAGGUAUGCUGUCUCCCUUAGAGCUGCUCAGCCCUGCUCUGGCUGGUGAAUGAGUAUGCAGGUGUCCUCAUGCUGACUAAGCCAUUUUCCUCCAUCUUGAAUCUGCUGCCUGUCACCUCCUGCCCUUCCUCCCUCGUGCUUCUCCUAGUGACACUGCCAUUUGUCUGCUGCCUUGACACACCUUGACAUGCUGCUCUGAGCUCCUCUGGGUACAGCUCUGACACCACAAAGAACUGUUACCUGUCUCAUUGCUCAUCUGGACUUUAAGACUCUGGUGAGAUUUUUCCGGAUCCUGUUUUUCUCGAAGAGCAAUUGAUGGGGGUGGGGGUGGGGUGAAUGGUCUUUUGAGGAUUUGUUUGAGAGGCAUCACAUCUCCUGGGAAUGUGGAGGUACUGGGUAGGAAUCUGGAUGGGCCACAGCUUUACAGGGUAACUUUGGCGCCAUAUUUCCUUUUUGUGCCUCAGUUUCUCCACCCACUCCAUGGGAACACUCAUAUCUUCCCCUCCCUACCUCAUGGGGAUAUGGUUAGACUCAUCUGGGGACCGUGCUAUGCAAAUUUAUGCAUUUUACAUGGAACUUGAUUUUCAGCUUAUGGCUGUCUCUCUGUGUCCCAGUGGCAAGAUCUGCCCCUCCAACCCCCCUAGAAUCCAAAGCUUAAAACUAUUCUGGGCCAUUAGCUCCUUCAGUCCAUCCCUUGACUACUUGAACUGGAUGUCUGUCUGUCAGUCUGUCUUUUCACCCUUUAGCGGGAAAGCUGCUGGUUAGACUGCUUAGUGGGUCCUUCCUGAGCCAGGAGUCAGCCUUAAUGGAGAGCUGGGCUUCUGCAAGUCUGUGAGAAACAAGAGUCCCUGCUUCAGAAACCUGUUCUGAGGCCAGGGAUGGAUGGGCUCUCUACAUCUUUCUGGCUACUCCUGGUUCCUGGGGACCUUUGCAGAAGGACCCCACCAGGCCCCAAAGGGAUGGUCCCAGCUGAGGGCACAUAUAAGAGCAUGCAUGAAGAGCCUGCCCCCUCCCCUCACCCCAUCCUCAUCACCAUUCUUAAUGAAACACUUCCUUUUUCAAGUCAGAGCAGGCCUGGAAGCAAAGGGUUUGUGGAGAGCUGGGCUCUCCAGGGACUCUGGUUGCCAUAGCAACUUUCCAGACAAUUCUCUCUACCCUCUGAUUUGGGCAAGCAGGGAGCACUGGAGUCUCUGUCCUCCCAGCUUCUGAGACUGGAACACCUUUCCCAUGGUGAUAGCUUAGGGCCUGGAAGUGCUGAGAUAGGGCAGAUGACUGCCAGAAAAUGAGGGGGACUGGAAGCAGGAACCUCCCCCGCCCCCACCAGCCUUCCUUCCUCAACCUUCCUUCCCGGUUGGAUUCCUUCCACUGAAGUUGCCUCAUCUCACUUUGCUGGAGUCCUCAGAAACUUCACCCAGAUUCUGAGAACUUCCAGCUAAGAUGGACUGUGUUGUUGACACCUUUCUCAAAGUGACAAGGGUAAACUUGGAGAUGCCCACCUGGGGAGGCCAUAAUAGCUUUAGACCAGAAUGGCAUCAGUGCUGGAGGCUCUCCUCACAGAGAGGCUGAGAAACACUCCUCUUACUUCCCGGGCUCCACACCCAGGCAGAUACUUCUGGGUGGCUCUUUCCAGGACAUCGAAGAAGAACCAAAUGGCUGUGCCCUGACCUAGUUUCUGUGAAGGAUUUUUGCCAAAGUGAUUCCUCUAUCACCGGGAGCCUCUUCCUGUGGAUUUUGUGCCCUGAGUCACAGGCUGGGAAUCAGCUGGGAUAGCCCUGUGACAGCUGCCAGCCAGGGCGGGGCUCACCUGACGCCAGCUGGCAGGAGUUCCCAGAGGUCCUUCUGGAUCCAGGCUCAGCCUAGCCUCGGGUCUCCCUCCCGCCCGAUGCUCCCUCAGGAGAGAGGGGACAGCUGGCUGCCUUGGCCUGAGAGGGAAAAGGCUGUUGCAGGGGUUCCAAGCAGGGACCCCUCUGUGAGGGUUUCUUGUGUCAGCUGGACAACUUCUCCAGGAGAUGAAACCUGGCCUGGCGCCCUCUAGAGGCCUCCACAAGUGGUGCAUGGACUAGAAACUGCUGAACUGGACCUGCUUGUUACAGAAGGCUUGGGAUGCAGGGGUGAGACUGUGGGGGCGGGUGAAAGCCAUGGUGUGAACAAAGAAGAGAAGGUAUGUGUGUGGAGGGGGGCCAGGAUCGGGGGACCCCGGGACAUGCAUGGAUGUGCUGACAAGUCUAACAAAUAAAUAUAUGGCAAAGUCUUGGA